AUUAAUGACCUGCCGACAUCAUACAGUUCAUGAAAUGCUCUGGAUGUGUACAUGCUGAUGAUACGACCUCAGACCCAGCAAGAGCUCAGUGCAGCCCGGAGAGCUGUGAGCAGUGCCACAGGAGGAGAUGACUGGUGAGUGAAAUAAGCAAGAUAGGAGUUGAAGUGUACAUGAAGCAGAGUCCAAGCCUUCUCCUUCUGGAUGUUCAGCUGGAUCAUCCUGACUGCUCCCACUUUCAUCUUGGCUUUCAAAGGCAAGAGGAAAUUAUAAGGAAUAUUCUGAGUGGCUUUCAUCCAGGAGUUCUGUGGGACCCGCAACACCUGGAUGGUAGAUGCAAACAGAUAAAGAAUAUUGGUCACCAAAAGGAGUUCUUUUCAUCAUAGAUCUCUGAAGGUAGACACCUAUUUGCAGACUUCUCAAAGGGCUAUAUGGAUGUGCUCUACUUGUUGGAGGAUUGUCCAUCCACUCUUCUUCCUGUACUUACCAGGACAGAACAGCCGCAACUUCUCAGACAGUUCAUUCUUCUUUUCCUCACCUACUACCAUCUAAGAAAGGUACUUGAUGACUGUGGCUUUAGACAAGAGUCCUUUUCUUACCACAGGGUGGGCAGCACCAGCUCAUUAGAACCAUUUGUGUGACUGACUGAAGACAGCUCACCUUGGAACACUGCAGGACCCUAAGAGGAUGGAGGUGGAGUUUUUCUGCUCCUACACCUGGAUAGGCAAGACCAACCACUUACCAGAUGGGGAAUCUUCCAGUGCUAAUAGUUCAGACUGUGCAUACAAGAAACUGA
Molecule: long non-coding RNA, 793 nt
Filed under: Homo sapiens (human)
Lineage: Eukaryota; Metazoa; Chordata; Mammalia; Primates; Hominidae
Description: HSALNT0367164
Source: RNAcentral